Molecule: long non-coding RNA, 657 nt
Organism: Pongo pygmaeus (Bornean orangutan)
Lineage: Eukaryota; Metazoa; Chordata; Mammalia; Primates; Hominidae
Exons: 4
Source: RefSeq, a predicted model, not a curated record
AGGUGUAGAAGGGACCACCUAUUCUAGGUAGGGCAGUCACAAAGAGCCAGGCAUGUAAGCUGAGGCUGUUGGUAGAGCUCAGGGAAGAGCAACCCAAGGUGAAGACACAGUGAUGUCUUCUGGCUUUCAAGUUUUAAAACCUGUAUGCCCUUGAUCCUACUCCUUCCUCCACUAUCGCACCUUCUUGGAAAUCUGAGACAUUCAUGUCCCAGGAGUGACCAGCAUGAAGAGAGCUGAAACCCAGCCCCAUUGCAGAGCUGGCUCCCAAGGAUCUAUCUUGGGAUAAUUUCCUCUGUCUGUAUCCAUGGCUUCUGCUGAGCUUCAGAUCAGAAUGUAUGCCAUUAUGUUCCACAGCUGCCAAUCAAAGGCACCCAGCUAACUUCUCUACCUUGGAGGAUCAGGUGAAAGAAAACACCAGAUGGGAAGAAAAGUGGAGAGAAUGAUUGAGCCUGGAACCUCAGCAUGGCAUUAUCCACAUGGGCUGUUUUAUCAGUACGCCUUUUUGUAACCCCAGAUAAGGGAAAACCAUAGCCAGAAAAAGAUGACAACAGGGAAAUUCAACCACUGCAGGCAUUUAUUCUUAUCUUUUGUUUUUAUAAAGAAUGACAAAUAAUCUGAGCAUAUAAAAAUCAUCGCUUUGCAUGAAACCCAAAUUUA